This 930-nucleotide long non-coding RNA is filed under the name Apteryx owenii (little spotted kiwi). Its description in RNAcentral is "lncRNA (ENSAOWG00000002822.1)". Lineage: Eukaryota; Metazoa; Chordata; Aves; Apterygiformes; Apterygidae. The record is from RNAcentral.
GGGAUGUCUGAGCGUGAGGGGCUGACUUCCGAGCGCCUCCGCCAAGCCCGGCUGUACGCUUCUCCUGACCUACCCUGGAAUUGUGCCCCUUGCCAUCCGCCCACCUCGUCUCUGCGGAAGGAGGCAGCGCGACCUGCGCAGCACAGCAAGACAAAACUAGGCAUCACAACAAAGCUGCAGACCAGCAAACGAAGCUAAGUGAGGGCAAUUUGACCAAUGUCUUCUGUGUCAGUUCCCCAGCAGUCAAAGCAUGUUAUCAGGUCUCCAAGACCUACAGCUUGCGAAGACUGGAAAGGAAGACAAAUAAGGUUGGUUCAAUGUCCUCAGGGGGCAGAGAAGGGUGAAGAAAGAGGACAAGAUUCAGACCGGACACACAUACCAGAAAAAAGCGUUUGCCUUCAAAAAGUCUUACUCCACCUCCCAGUAAAAAUGUAAUGCCAACAAAGGAAAAAGAUGUUGCAAGUCAUGCAGAGCAUCUACCACAGAACAAUUCACAGAAGCCAAUGAAUCAGUCAUUUUCAGUGCAGCAAGCUAUGCAUGGCCCCAAGGAAAAGCGUUCAGACCAACUGGCUUCAAGAGACUGAUCAUCUGUGAGAGAAGUCAGCUCACGAUUGCACAUAAUCAGGAAGGUAAAGUUCCCAGGUUACCACACCUGCUCUGAUCUGUCCUCUAAAAUCCCCCCCCCCCAAAGAGACAUCCUCUGUAUAACAUGAGAACUACAGCACUACAUCUACUUGUUUUUUUUUCUUCCCCUUUUAGAAAAGGGCAAAUUAAUUGGAAAGUUCAAAAAAUUAGAAAUGUGUGUUGUGCUAUUGUGGAAGUUUAAGAAUGAGCACUUUACUUUGUGAUGAUCAAUUUCUUGAUAUAAACAGCUGCCACUUAAAAUGAAAGAAUGAAAUAAUGAAAAUAAAUUUAUGUCAAACCUUGACA